Molecule: ribosomal RNA, 487 nt
Filed under: uncultured bacterium
Lineage: Bacteria
Description: partial 16S ribosomal RNA
Rfam family: Bacterial small subunit ribosomal RNA
Source: RNAcentral
AGUGAACGCUGGCGGCGUGCUUAACACAUGCAAGUCGAGCGAGAUUCUACAGCACACCGUAGAGUCUAGCGGCAGACGGGUGAGUAACACGUAGGAAACUUUCCCUGAAAUGGAGGAUACCCCCGAGAAAUCGGGGCUAAUACUGCAUAAGACCACAUUCCGGCAUCGGAAAGAGGUCAAAGGCCCGCAAGGGUCGUUUCGGGAUGGUCCUGCGUCCUAUCAGCUAGUUGGUGAGGUAAUGGCUCACCAAGGCUAUGACGGGUAGCCGGCCUGAAAGGGCGAUCGGCCACACUGGAACUGAGACACGGUCCAGACUCCUACGGGAGGCAGCAGUGGGGAAUUUUGGACAAUGGGCGAAAGCCUGAUCCAGCAACGCCGCGUGAAGGAUGACGGUCUUCGGAUUGUAAACUUCUUUUAGAGGGAACGAAAAAAAUGACGGUACUCUCAGAAAAAGCCACGGCUAACUACGUGCCAGCCGCCGCAGUAA